GAUGAACGCUGGCGGCGUGCCUAAUACAUGCCAGUCGAGCGAACGGACGAGAAGCUUGCUUCUCUGAUGUUAGCGGCGGACGGGUGAGUAACACGUGGAUAACCUACCUAUAAGACUGGGAUAACUUCGGGAAACCGUAGCUAAUACCGGAUAAUAUUUUGAACCGCAUGGUUCAAAAGUGAAAGACGGUCUUGCUGUCACUUAUAGAUGGAUCCGCGCUGCAUUAGCUAGUUGGUAAGGUAACGGCUUACCAAGGCAACGAUGCAUAGCCGACCUGAGAGGGUGAUCGGUCACACUGGAACUGAGACACGGUCCAGACUCCUACGGGAGGCAGCAGUAGGGAAUCUUCCGCAAUGGGCGAAAGCCUGACGGAGCAACGCCGCGUGAGUGAUGAAGGUCUUCGGAUCGUAAAACUCUGUUAUUAGGGAAGAACAUAUGUGUAAGUAACUGUGCACAUCUUGACGGUACCUAAUCAGAAAGCCACGGCUAACUACGUG
RNAcentral lists this ribosomal RNA (497 nucleotides) under uncultured bacterium. RNAcentral's name for it is "partial 16S ribosomal RNA". It matches the Rfam family "Bacterial small subunit ribosomal RNA", at positions 28 to 507 of the family's 1533-position model. The record is from RNAcentral.